AGAGUUUGAUCAUGGCUCAGAUUGAACGCUGGCGGUAUGCUUAACACAUGCAAGUCGAACGGUAACAGGCCUUCGGGCGCUGACGAGUGGCGGACGGGUGAGUAACGCGUAGGAAUCUGCCUCAUAGUGGGGGACAACGUGGGGAAACUCACGCUAAUACCGCAUACGCCCUACGGGGGAAAGCGGGGGAUCUUCGGACCUCGCGCUAUGAGAUGAGCCUGCGUUAGAUUAGCUAGUUGGUAGGGUAAAGGCCUACCAAGGCGACGAUCUAUAGCUGGUCUGAGAGGACGAUCAGCCACACUGGGACUGAGACACGGCCCAGACUCCUACGGGAGGCAGCAGUGGGGAAUAUUGGACAAUGGGCGCAAGCCUGAUCCAGCAAUACCGCGUGUGUGAAGAAGGCCUUAGGGUUGUAAAGCACUUUCAAUUGGGAAGGAAAACCUACCGGUCAAUACCCGGUAGCUUGACAUUACCUUUAGAAGAAGCACCGGCUAACUCCGUG
Molecule: ribosomal RNA, 502 nt
Filed under: uncultured bacterium
Lineage: Bacteria
Description: bacterial SSU rRNA
Rfam family: Bacterial small subunit ribosomal RNA
Source: RNAcentral